This 253-nucleotide ribosomal RNA is filed under the name uncultured bacterium. RNAcentral describes it as "partial 16S ribosomal RNA". It matches the Rfam family "Bacterial small subunit ribosomal RNA", at positions 524 to 776 of the family's 1533-position model. The record is from RNAcentral.
UACGGAGGGUGCAAGCGUUAUCCGGAUUUACUGGGUUUAAAGGGUGUGUAGGCGGACUUUUAAGUCAGGGGUGAAAUCUCCGAGCUCAACUCGGAAACUGCCUUUGAUACUAUUAGUCUUGAAUUAUGUUGAGGUUGGCGGAAUAUAACAUGUAGCGGUGAAAUGCAUAGAUAUGUUAUAGAACACCGAUUGCGAAGGCAGCUGGCUAAACAUAUAUUGACGCUGAGGCACGAAAGCGUGGGUAGCGAACAGG